UAUCCUCUUAUCCAGGGUUGUCCAUCAAUUCAUCCAUUAUCCUCUUAUCCAGGGUUGUCCAUCCAUCCAUCCAUUAUCCUCUUAUCCAGGGUUGUCCAUCCAUCCAUCCAUCCAUCCAUCCAUCCAUUAUCCUCUUAUACAGGGUUGUCCAUCCAUCCAUCCAUUAUCCUCAUACAGGGUUGGGUUGCGAGGUCAGCAGCCUACAUAGAGAGACCCAUACUUCCCUCUCUCCAGCCACUUGAGUCUGCAUCCAGGGGAAUAAUUCCUGGUCCUCGAGGGCUAGUAUCCAUCACAUUUUAGUGGUUUCUCUGCACCAACACACCUGAUUCAGUGGUUAAGGUGUGUUGAAACAGAGUUAAAACUAAAACAUGCUGGAUACCGCCGGCCCUGAAUUGAAUACCAUAGGGCAUUCUCUGGCCAGCUCAGAAACAUAGUCCCUCCAAUGUUACCUGGGUCUUCCUUUGGGUCUUCUCCCAUUUAGACAUGCCCAGAAAACCACACCAGGGAAGUGUCCAGGAGGCAUUCUAACUAAGUGCUCAAGCCACCUCAACUUGCUCCUCUUGCUGUGGAACAGCAGCACAUCUAUUUUGAGCCCCUCCUGGAUGACUGAGCUUCUCACCCUAUCUCUAAGGGGGAGCCCGGAAACCCUGCAGAGAAAAACUAAUUUUGGAUCGCCAAGGUCCUCGCCUUUGGCUACCACCCAACACAAAAUGCACCCAACCCCUUUAGCCACUCCCACAAGUGGUGAGCCCAUGGGAAGGGGGACCAACAUUUCCUGUUUAGGCCAUGCCUGGCUGCCUCUCACCAAUGUAGGGUUUGGUAAAUUGAGUGCUUUAAGAGCUCAAUAUAUAUAGUACCUCUACUUAUGACCAAUAAGCUGUGAUACUCUAUCUAAAUAUAGAAUAUCAACCCUUCUUGGUCUUUACGGUGUUUAAUCAGAAGAAUCUAGGGUUCUUUAUUUAUUAGGGGAUUGUGCUCACUUCGUUUUGAUUCCGAAAAGAGUCAGGUUUAUAAAAGUAAGAAUUUAUUUUACCAACAAUUAAAACAUGACAAGUUAACUAACAUUUACUGUGAUGGAUGGAACUAGAUGUGAUGUAUGAACCUAUGUGUGAAUGCAAUGUUAGUCAGAACUUCCGUAUCUAGGAGAGCUGAGUUCUGGAUGUAAAAGAAUUUGGUUUACGUUAAGCUAUGAAGUUGAUUAUUAUCAAAAGCACAUCAGACGCUAUCUGUAUGUCUACUUCACCCAUUCUGGAGACCCUCUUAGUGGAUUUGAAGGUCAGAGAGGUCGGAUGACCUCUGGCACCGAAGGUCCAGUAGAUUGACCACAGCACCGACUUCUCCAGUCCAGAGAUGUCUCGGGUCAUGACAGAUGGAUGGAACCGCGCGUCUGGGACUCUGAAGGAGUCUAAACAAUAUCAGCUUGUUCUGCAGGAACUGUUGCUGUAUCAGCUUCGCAGGUGCAAAAAGGUUUUGACGACGUGUCAAAAGCUUUGAUGGUUAAAGAGGGUUUUGCUCCAGAUGGCCGGUCUGAAGCUUUCUCUAGAACUGAGGAAUCAGUAGAGUAAUCUGGUUUUAAUGUUCUCAUGUUAUGACUUGUGUAGCCAACCAGAGGUUGACAAGUUUGAGGAAUAUUACCAAGAAUCUCAGAAACACGCCUUCUUUGAUACCGGAGGCUCUGAUCUGGGGUAAAGGACUAUCUAUGCGUCAUGAAUUUAACUUAACCUUACUUUGUCCUUGUGAGUGCAAGUGGUGAUGACCGUGUCAUAUAAACAUGCUGAACAUAUUUCAAUCACUGUAAUCAUAACAUAACAUUCAUUUCAAACUUCAAUCAUUGAGCACAGAUGAAUGAAACAUUUCAUUAUAUUAUAAUUAUUAUAAGUAGCAAUAAACAAACGUUUAUUUAAUGAUUAUCUAGCUCAUAAGUUGUAGAAGUUCAUAUCUGAUUUAGGAAAUCAUGGCUGCGAGUUUUCCUUAUAUGGAAGCAUGAAGAAUCCUGAAAGACUGGACCUUGAGGAGAGAACAUUAUUGUUGACAUUUCGUUAUCUGUGUUCAGAGCUGCAGGCUCUGAGCUCCAGCUGGUGGGAUGGAGGCAGGCUGAUUUAAAGGGGACAAAUGCAGUCUUGUGUCUCCUUUUUGACCAGAUGUUGAAUGUCAAACUGUACCUAAAAACUGACCAUUGCUGGAUGUUACACCAACAUGCCCCAAUUCCAGGACUGUCUCCAGAGGGUGCCUUGGGGACUAGCGUCUGGGCGAGGGAUCACUAUUUCCAUUUGAGGUCAGAAUCAUAAGGAGUCUGUGAGCUAUGCUUUUUCUGAUCCCUCAUCUGGGACCUGUUGGCCAUGGGUGACCCUACCAGAGGCAUAAAGCCUGAGCCAACUUAGUUAUUAGAAUCAUGGGGACACUGAAAAUCCUCCACCACAGUAAAGUGGCAGCCCAGGGAGGGGUUUCAAUUUUGUUCUUAUUUACAUUUUAUUUUGCCAUUAGCGUCCCCUAUGACCAAGCCACUACUGCAAUCUGCACUGCAGAUUUUUUAUGGUUAUAUGUCAUGAAACUGCCAAUAUUUUUAAUAACUGGGCAUCUUUUAAUUCCUUUACAACAACAUUUAGAUGGAUAUUUCUAGAGAUUUAUGGUUAAAACUACACAUUGUCACUUUAAAAGUUCCUAGAUCUAAAUACAAACGCUGAGGGAAUCGGGCUUUUACAGUUUGUGCUCCUACACUACGGAACAGUCUUCCAGUCUUGGAUCUGACUACUUUUAAGUCACUUUUAAAAACAUUACUUCUACUCCCUGGCUUUUAGAGUAUGACACUUUCCCAUAUAUUUUCAUGCUAUUUAUCUGGUUUUACUUUGUUUUACACUGUCCCUGUAUUUUUAUAUCUUUUGCCAUUUAUUUUUAUUUUAUAUUUUAUAUGUUUCUUCUACUUAACAAUUUUGGUCACUGCUAUCUCCUGCUCAGUCCUGCUAGCUUAUAUGUUCCUUUAUGCUUUUUUAUGAUGUGUUUCAUCUCCUUUAAGCACUUUGGUUAACAAGUACUUUUAAAGUGCUACAAAAAUAAACUUUGAUUGGUCGAUUGAUUGAUGUAUACACCUGCAAAGCAAAGCUUUGACCGUGUCUGUGCGUCCUGGCUGCACAUCACUAACAUCCUACAUUUUUCGUGUCCACUUGAAUUUUAGGGAAUAUCACAUGGUUUUCUGAGUGCACUGGACUUAACCAGUGCCUCAAUUUUUUUAUUAAAAAAUUACUUAAUUGUAAGAUUUUUUUGUUUUAGAAGUCCUAUAUUUAUGUUUUGAAUUUCAACCCUUUAAUUUGGCAAAUAAGGACAAGUGAGCUCAAUCGAAAAUAAAAUAAAUAUUGAUUCCAGAAAGAUGACAGAAUUGAAUGAUGGAGGGGAGAUUUUACAGGAGUAAUAAUAGAUAGCUAAGUUUUGUCACCAUUCAAUGAGAAUAACUUUUUUAUGAAAGAAGAUUCACACAGAAGGAUGGUACCUUUGGGAAACCAGAAAGUACCAGUGUUCGAGAUCUAUCAGACUUAUUCUAAAACUAUUCUCAACUUUUCUCUUGGGCUUCAGACAGAUAAAGUAAACAAAGCGCUGUGGUGUAGCUAGAUAGAAAUUGGAAAUGUUUUGUUUUUAACCAUCCACACAUUCUGAUCUUUCUCAGAGAAACAUGCAAAUGACAUCUAGGAAGUUUGUUGGGUUUCUUGGCAAUUUCAGGAAUUUUGGCCCAUCACUAAGAUGAAAUGAAGUUACUGGUCCGCUAGUUAUCUUAGCAAGACAGCUUGUUGUAAGUAACUCUGAAGCUAUCUGGGCAUUACAGUCCUCGGAGAAAAGUAAUUGGAUAAUUAAUUUAGCUCUGGACAAGUUAAACUGACCUCUAGGAUUGGAAAGGUGCUCUGAGCUCAUGAUUGAUGUGUGCCACACAGGCUUAAUUAAAGCCCUUCAUCUGUGCAGAUGCAAAGCAUUGUGGGUAACAAGUGCUUAUGAAAGAAAGACACAGUUAACCACAUAUAUCAGGAUGGUGUUUCCACAUUAUAUAAGAACACACUGAAAGCUUUGGGGUAAUGUAUUAGUUAUGAAUGUAUUCAGAAUUAACCAGCACAUAUCUUAUGGAUGUACUAAUAAGAAGCACAUACUACUAUGUAUUAUUAUUAUUUUGGAUAGAUUUCUAACUCUACUCUCAUUUUUAAGAUCACAUAAAAUUUAACAGAAUUGAAAUGUUCCAUUCAAUUCAGUUCAUUUGCAUAGCACCAAUUUCCAACACAAGUAAUCUCAAUGUAAUAGUGCAUUAAAUUCAGCUCAUCUUUCCAAUCGGUUAAAAGUUUUGGGUCUAAGGAAUCCAAGCAGAUUACAUCGACAGUGGUCAAGGCCCCUGGUGUGUGGGUGGACAAUUAUGGAAGCAAUACAGUCUCACCAGAAAAAAAGAAAAAAAAAUAAUAUUGAAUUUGUGACAUUGAAUUUUUUUUUCUUUCUGUAAAAUGCACCAGCAAAAAAAAAAAUCACCUGUAAAAGUACAACAGUAGAAUUUCAACUUCAAACAUUCAACAACUGAAUUUUCACGUGAAAAUAUCAUUGGCGAAAAUUCAAUAGCAGAAUGUCAAUAUAAAAAUUUUCAUUAGCAAAAGUUCAACAGCUGAAUUUCAACGUAAACAUAUCAAUACAUGCAACAGAGGAAUUUCAAAUGCAAAGUUUUUUUUUUAAUUUUUUAUACCAGCUGCAAAGUUUUAACAUCAACAACAAAUGAGAUGAAUUCCUGAUCCAAGCCAAAGUAAUUUUCAAAUGAUCAAGUCAAGUGACAUUUAGCCAAUCAAAUUACAUUUCUCAGAUCAACUGACACCAUUGAGGCACCGUCUCGAUCAAGUGAUGAUUCCUUUGGCUUGCGUCACCAGGAGGUCACCUCAUUUGUUGUUGAAUUUCUGCGGUUGAACUUUUAUGAAUAAAAUGUUGAUGGUGUAUUUAAAAAAACUCAAAUACAUAAUUUCACAGAUUAAAAAUUGUAUGUCAUAAAUUUAAUGUCUAAAAGAGGUCAUGUUCUGGUGAGACUGUAUUUCUUUCAUAGCCAGUAAACUGGACUGGACACACAGCACCUGUACAAAAAGGGCCAAUAAUGAGAUACAGGAAUUACGAUAAACAACUGAACACAACAGGACAAAUGCCCCCGAAGUCCUUCGUCAGCGCCCCCUAUGGACAAGCUGCCAUGGGUUCCAAGGCGACAGCAGCAAGCCCAAACAGCACUCUCUUCCCCACAGUACAGAGUAUGAUACUUUUAACACUGAGCUUAGCAGCACCCCCCACCCCCCACCCCCCCACCCCACACACACACACCAAUAUGGGUAUAAAAAUUAACCACAAGUCACAGAUUGUUUUGCUCCAGUCUGCAUGACAAAUGAUGCUAAAUAUGAGCAAGUGAUAAAAGAAGGUGUGGUCUUUAAAGCAGAGUUUGGGACUCCGAUCACCAGUUUGGUGCAGUUGCAUUCACCGUGUUGUGUCUGUAUCAAAGCUUAUGGCAUCAGACUACUGAAGAGUGGAAGUGUUGUAGGCAGCAGAUGAUACACAUAACCAAUACGUUUUAUGCAUGAGCACCAUAACAUAUUCUGUUGGUAGCACACAUUGGCACAUCAUUAUUCAUGCACUGAGAGAUCCAACACUCUUAACUCUGUAAACUUGUUUCACCGGCUGUUAUAUCGUGCAGUGAAUGAAUGCAAAGAUCAUAAAGAUUUUCUUUAAAUGUUAUGUUUUUGCCAUAGCAGGGUAUUCUGUGCCUUCCUGCUGGUGCGAUGUUGCCUUGUUAGGGUUUCAUCCUAAAUCUAAUCUCAUCAUGCAGAAUAAAUUGGACUACACAGGAAGCAGCAAAGCACCAUAGUGCUCAGUGGCAUGGCCUUGGAAAGAGGUGUCAUUAAAGUGAUUAUUCUUGAUUAGUCUGUCAAUGCUUCCUGGAGUGCAACAUUCUAAUCAUCACAAACUUCAACCGGCCCUGAUUGACAUCUAACCUUCAUAGGCUUCAAUGAAAUUGUGUUGUUCCAGGAUUUCUCAGAUCUGAAAUGCAGACAAACUCGGAGCACAGAUUGUACUGGUGAAUAACAAAAGUAAAUGUUUAUUUAACACUUGAAUCUCAGGUGGAAGAAUGGUCCAGGGGCUUCAGUGAGGGAAUAAGUAAACAGGCGAACAGAAGUUUAACUGGCAAGAUGUGCUACUGAGAGGUUUUUCUAGCUUGGUUGGAGAUUUUGAGUUCAGGAGGAAGCGCUGAGACGGUGGUUGAAACAAAAUGGUUCAGGGAGGGGCUUUGGAAUCUGUGCUGUACUAAUGGAUGUAUGUAGGGUUAGGAAACCGACCAGAGGAAAGGGCUCUGGAGCAUACUGUUAGGGUCUUGUGUUGUUACGACCACCAGCCUUUGGAGCUGUAACACGGCCCGGUCCAGCUCUGUUUACUGACAGAAGCAUCAGUUUAGGACCCAGAACAGCUCCAUUCCAUGGGGUGCGGAGACCCAAGCACUCCAGUCAGCUCUAUGUCCUGCAGCGGAGACCCACAGCUGCAGUGCUUUUUCACUGAUUAGGAUGCUACCAUAAAGAGGAGAGAAGACAGGAAGAAGACAGAAAGAGAUGGAGGCCAACAAUUUGGGACAUUCUGUGGAAACAUGCAGAGGUUUGGAAUUUUGGGAGAUUCUGCAGAGCCAGAGACACUGUGAAGGACAUUCAGAGAAGGAGAUGUCCUGGAUUCCUGAGUACAAACUGACAUCAGGCUCCUGCGGAACGCUCCACUGAUGUAGCUGGCAAGUUGGACUUUAUAAAUAUAUUUAUUUAGUCUGGCAACGCUCCACUGACGGUUCUCGAUUGUGAGGCGGGUUCUACUGUUGUCUUUCAAACAAUCUCCACAUGCUACUGGACAAUGAACAAUGUGACAUACUCACUGCAACAGAUGUCUGUAAAUGAGGCAGUCCGCUGUUGAAGAAGGCGAAAAUACAUCUUUUUUCUAAAUAAUGGACAUAAAUACAUCUAUCUGCUCCUUAUUCUAAUAAAGCCCAAGUCCAAAUAGUCCAAAAUUGAUGUAAAAGCUUGAGUUGUCGCCAUAAUAUUAGUGGUCAGAUCUGAGAGUUAGCACCAGAGUGGCCUUAAUAUUCCAUAGUUUUUAUAAUCCAAGAAACUGUAAAUUGUCUUCUUCUCAAUCUCUUAUUGGAAUUCUGUUAGUUUUUUAGAUUCAAAUUUUUUUUUAUAGUUCAUGAUUGUCAUGUGCCAGGGUGAGUACUCCUCUCAUUUUUCCAUCUUUGAGUUGUGUGUUUCAGGAGAGGGAGGCUCCAGCUGCAGUAGAUUUGCAAUCAGCGGGCCUGGCUACAAAAGGAGGAUGGAGAACAUCCUCAACGCCGGAUGAUUACUACAGCUUGGUAGUUUCCUGCCCUCUUGCUACUCUUGGAUUUUGUGCUGUAAUGUUUCUAGAAUUUUUUGUGAACCUUUAGAUCUUUUCUCUGUGCUUACCCGUUACCAGGUUUUGGAACAUUUUUGGACUUCUGUGACUUCUCUGGAUUAUGUCUCUGUUUUUCUGCGACUCCUCAGGAUUACUCACCUGUGCCCCAUAGGAUUUCCGGACGCAGCUCUCACCAUUCUCCAUUCCUCCCGGCCGGCCUGCUCUCCUCUCGCUCCCUCUCCUGGACACCCCACUUGGAUUCACCCCGGUACCCAUCAUACCCUCCCUCAUUCCUACGCUCCCCUACUCCCAGUAAGUCUAUUCUCUGCACCCACCAAGUUUAGACUUGCCUUCCUGGACUCACCUGUAUCUGCUCUCCCCUCCACAGACACUGCGCUCCCGUUCUCGAUCUCCACUGGGCUUUUCCAGUGCACCUUCAGUUCCCGUUUUAAAAUGAAGAUUCUUUUUUUACCAUAAGAUCUGUCAUUGUCCAUCCUCUUCUGCUUAUCCGAGGUUGGGUCAUGGGGGCAGCAUCCUGAGAGCAGAGGCCAAGAAUUCCCUCUCCCCAGCCACUUGGGCCAACUCCUCUGGGGCAAUCCCAAGGCCAGCUGAGUGGCAUAGCCCCUCCAUCGUGUCCUGGGUCUCCUCUCGAUUAAACAUGCCUCCCAGUUUAUCCCUGGUUUGUACUAGUUUUACUGCUUUAGCUUUGGUCACCGUCCACUUUUAGUUUAAUCAAUGUGUCCACAUACAGUACUUUGUAAUUCCGGGCUAGCCUUCUUACCGACUCAAAGUGCCACCACUAGUCACCGGCCACUUUUUGUUUUCUACUCAAUGUCUUAUUAAGGUUCUGUUAGUUUUCUAGUCAUCAGUGUUUUUUUAAUGUGAUUUCAUUGUUUAUUCUUGUGUUUGUUUUUGUAAUAUUUGUGAUGUUCUUGCUACUUUAAAUCACAAUGAGUUAGGAAAUGUGCUAUAAAAAUAAAGCUGUCAUUUCUAAUGAUUGCACAUCAUCUAAAACCAUUUUUCCAAAAUGAUUUAAAUAUUCAUCUCAAAUGGUUAAAUAUUGACAUUGAUUCUAGUUAUAUGUGAUAACCAUGUGUAAUGGGCAGUGGAGUAAUGACUGGUUUCAUUUUGGGGUGACUGCUGACUGAAAUGAGGGAUUAGAUCAAACAGAUCCUGAAAAUUACCAACUCUACAGAAUAUAAUGGAAAAUCUCCAUGGUAACUUAUACCGUACCAUAUCCUACUGCCCUCUGUCUCGUUUUAGUGCACCCCGAACACAGAUAAGUUGAAUCACAAUAACCAAGAUAUUCAGGCUUAAUCAGGUAUCCUUUUUUGUGGAACAUGCCCCACUCAUAAGUCACUAGUUUGGGACAGUACACAAUAAACUCUGUCAAGACAUCCCAACACAAUACUUUAUUUUGUAUGUAAAAUGUUUUCUUUAGAUUUUUAUGUUGUUUUCUAACAGUUUUUAACUUUGGUUCAUGCUAUGUUUCAAAAGACCGUUUUUCAUAAUACCGGAAAAUUCACAAUAGUCAUUUGUUCAUUCAUUUGUUGCUGCCCACAUCAGUAGUGUGUAUGAACCUAAAGGGUUUUUAGGAAGUGGAAUGCAGCAAACAGCUCAAAAGGAAAGAGCCCAUUGCAGCAACAUUUUCACUUUUACUGUUGAAACUUGAGUUUCUACAUUCUUAUGCUCACUUGACAACCUCUGAUUUGUCACAACAUUUUAAAAAUAGCCAGCCCUGCAGCUUCAGUAACCUGUCUUUUAAAACUCUGCUUUAAUACCUUCAACACAUGCACCAAUCUUCUUUUGCAACAUUUCUAAGUCCUAAACCCCAACUCCACAAAAAUACAGCUAUUUUCUCACAAUCGUCCCUUUGAGGAAGGUGGUCCAGUGUGAAACAGUUGGCAAACAUGGAAAAUUAGUUAUGACUUGGAGCUCCCUUCUAGUCUACAGAGAUGUUCUGUGUAGAAGAGCAGAAAUAAAAGAGAAAAGCAAAAACUUGUAGCCCAAGGCAAACAAAACCAGACCAACAAGUUAGGGAUUGUGAGUGAUAAUGUGCAUAUUAUUUCAACCCCUGCACAGCAGACAAUGCAUCUCAAUUACAAGUUCAAGCAUUAAUUAAGAAGGUGGAAUAAUUAUUGCACCUGACAGUGAUAAUUGACCUAGGGAGUCCAGGUAGUGAUUGGGGCCCCUGUCUGGAUACUUCCUUACUAAGGAGGUUACCUCUUGUCUUGUUCAUUAAACAGGGCACACUUCAGAUAUUUGUGAUAACAGGCUCCAAAAUAUGAACUCGAGGAGCUCUGGCAUUUUCCAUUUAAGCUUGUCAACCUAAAAUAGCCUUUAACACCUAAAAGCGACAUUUUUUUUCUAUUUGGAUUUACUGAUUUUAGGUUUUUCAGCAGGAUAAAAUACUCAAAAUCUCCAGGCUUAAAUUAGCAUUCCUAUUGCUACUCUGAAGGAAGCUACAAAUGAGUCUUUUCCUAAAAGAAUCUCAGAUCUGCAAGGGAAAAAGGAAUGCUGCACAACUAGCAUGCCACCACUGGAGCCAUGCAUCCUGCUAAACACACACACUCAUAAAUUUGUGUUUCUCUUCACUUCUUCAUGAUUACACAUCACCUUGGGUCCAGUAAAGUGAAUCCUGCUCUUCCCUCUUUCGUUCUUUCUUUCAUCAUUUCCCACCCACUGUGAAUGUCUUAAUGCAUUAUCACUUCAUUAAAGCUGCAUCAGGGUGAUAAAUGAACUACUGCUUUCCCUAACCAGCUAAUGGCCCUUUCUGAUCACGCUCAGUGGAAGAGAAAGUUUCUCAUGUUGGUGGAGAGGGCUGUCAGUGUCUCUCAGGAAUCCUAGACAGCUGCCGUUAUAGAGCUCUAUAAUGUGUGUGAUUUUUUUAGACGUGGUUGGAUCCUUCUACUUUCUCUGACUAGAUCCGGCCUGCUUUGAUUUCCUCAGAUCUUACAAUAAACUGGCAAUGAUCAACAGGA
Molecule: non-coding RNA, 10373 nt
Organism: Nothobranchius furzeri (turquoise killifish)
Lineage: Eukaryota; Metazoa; Chordata; Actinopteri; Cyprinodontiformes; Nothobranchiidae
Source: RefSeq, a predicted model, not a curated record